RNAcentral lists this ribosomal RNA (460 nucleotides) under uncultured bacterium. Its description in RNAcentral is "partial 16S ribosomal RNA". It matches the Rfam family "Bacterial small subunit ribosomal RNA", at positions 338 to 795 of the family's 1533-position model. The record is from RNAcentral.
CCUACGGGUGGCAGCAGUGAGGAAUAUUGGUCAAUGGGCGCGAGCCUGAACCAGCCAAGUAGCGUGAAGGAUGACUGCCCUACGGGUUGUAAACUUCUUUUAUAAAGGAAUAAAGUGAGGCACGUGUGCCUUUUUGUAUGUACUUUAUGAAUAAGGAUCGGCUAACUCCGUGCCAGCCGCCGCGGUAAUACGGAGGAUCCGAGCGUUAUCCGGAUUUAUUGGGUUUAAAGGGAGCGUAGAUGGGUUUUUAAGUCAGUUGUGAAAGUUUGCGGCUCAACCGUAAAAUGGCAAUUGAUACUGGCAGUCUUGAGUACAGUUGAGGUAUGCGGAAUGCGUGGUGUAGCGGUGAAAUGCUUAGAUAUCACGCAGAACUCCGAUUGCGAAGGCAGCUUACCAAACCGCCACUGACAUUGAUGCUCGAAAGUGUGGGUAUCGAACAGGAUUAGAUACCCCAGUAGUC